RNAcentral lists this ribosomal RNA (468 nucleotides) under uncultured bacterium. Its description in RNAcentral is "partial 16S ribosomal RNA". It matches the Rfam family "Bacterial small subunit ribosomal RNA", at positions 28 to 507 of the family's 1533-position model. The record is from RNAcentral.
GACGAACGCUGGCGGCGUGCUUAACACAUGCAAGUCGAACGGAAAGGCCCUGCUUUUGUGGGGUGCUCGAGUGGCGAACGGGUGAGUAACACGUGAGUAACCUGCCCUUGACUUUGGGAUAACUUCAGGAAACUGGGGCUAAUACCGGAUAGGAGCUCCUGCUGCAUGGUGGGGGUUGGAAAGAUUCGGCGGUUGGGGAUGGACUCGCGGCUUAUCAGCUUGUUGGUGGGGUAGUGGCUUACCAAGGCUUUGAAGGGUAGCCGGCCUGAGAGGGUGACCGGCCACAUUGGGACUGAGAUACGGCGCAGACUCCUACGGGAGGCAGCAGUGGGGAGUAUUGCAGAAUGGGCGGAAGCGUGAGGCAGCAACGCCGCGUGCGGGAUAACGGCCUUCGGGUUGUAAACCGCUUUCGCCUGUGACGAAGCGUGAGUGACGGUAAUGGGUAAAGAAGCACCGGCUAACUACGUG